RNAcentral lists this ribosomal RNA (200 nucleotides) under uncultured bacterium. Its description in RNAcentral is "partial 16S ribosomal RNA". It matches the Rfam family "Bacterial small subunit ribosomal RNA", at positions 524 to 724 of the family's 1533-position model. The record is from RNAcentral.
UACGGAGGGUGCAAGCGUUAUCCGGAUUCACUGGGUUUAAAGGGUGCGUAGGCGGGCAGGUAAGUCAGUGGUGAAAUCUAGAGCUUAACUCUAGAACUGCCAUUGAUACUAUCUGUCUUGAAUAUUGUGGAGGUAAGCGGAAUAUGUCAUGUAGCGGUGAAAUGCUUAGAUAUGACAUAGAACACCUAUUGCGAAGGCAG